Molecule: ribosomal RNA, 433 nt
Filed under: uncultured bacterium
Lineage: Bacteria
Description: partial 16S ribosomal RNA
Rfam family: Bacterial small subunit ribosomal RNA
Source: RNAcentral
AACGAACGCUGGCGGCAUGCCUAAUACAUGCAAGUCGAACGAGAUCUUCGGAUCUUGUUGCGCACGGGUGCGUAAGGCGUGGGAAUCUGCCCUUAGGUUAGGAAUAACUUCUGGGAACGGAAGCUAAUACCGGAUGAUGACGUAAGUCCAAAGAUUUAUCGCUCAAGGAUGGGCCCGCGUAAGAUUAGGUAGGAGGUGAGGUAAAUGCUCACCAAGCCUACGAUCCUUAGCUGGUCUGAGCGGAUGAUCAGCCACACUGGGACUGAGACACGGCCCAGAUGCCUACGGGAGGCCGCAGUAGGGAAUAUUGGACAAUGGGCGAAAGCCUGAUCCAGCCAUGCCGCGAGAGUGAUGAAGGCCUUAGGGUUGUAAAGCUCUUUUAACCGGGAUGAUAAUGACAGUACCGUAAGAAUAAGCUACGGCUAACUCCGUG